This is a long non-coding RNA of Hippopotamus amphibius kiboko, 747 nucleotides long. RefSeq lists it as uncharacterized. The record is from RefSeq and is a predicted model, not a curated record. NCBI's taxonomy places the organism in Eukaryota, Metazoa, Chordata, Mammalia, Artiodactyla, Hippopotamidae. The transcript is spliced from 3 exons.
CGAGCCGGGAAGGGCCUGGGGCCCGGCGGGCUGCACCCCGCGCCUGGGCCCCCGGCUCCCUACCUCCCCUGGGGCGCGCGCCUUCUCGAACGCGCGGUGGAGACGCCAAAACGGACAAGGGCUGCUUUUUCCCUCCUCCCCCCACCUCACUUUAAAACAAAGCCGCGAUUCAUUCCCUCUCCCCGAACAGCGCGGUUGGGUGGGAUGGGCAGGCGAGAAGGCCGUUUUCCUAGCCCCGGUCUGCGGGUUCCUCCCUGAAACGCGGUGUCAGAUGGUUACUGAUUAAUAUUUUGGAGAGGCCGCGGCGGCGGGCAGCGGGAUAUGGCCAGCCUCACAUCUGCAGCAAGAAAGAAGCAAUUCCCCAGCAGUUUAUCAGGAGAGAUGAUAAUGUGGGACAGAAAACAGACUGCAGUGGUUAAGAAUCCGCCUUCCAGUGCAGGGGAUGCGGGUUCGAUCCCUGGUCGGAGAACCAAGAUCCCCCGUGCCGAGGGGCCGCUGAGCCCACGUGCUGCCACUGCUGCACCCGCACGCUCUGCAGCCAGCAUGCCACAACUAGAGAGAAGCCCACGUGCCGCAGCGAAGAGCCUGUGCACCACAACAAAAGAUCCCGAAUGCCGCAACUAAGACCCGAUGCAGCCAAAAAUAAAAGUAUUUUUUUAAAUGAUUGAAAAAAAAAAAAAAUAACACACCCUGUUCUGGUUGUGUUUCUUGGCCAACGUCUCUCCCCUACCUAACUUGGGUCGCCCC